GACGAACGCUGGCGGCGUGCUUAACACAUGCAAGUCGAACGGAAAGGCCCUGCUUUUGUGGGGUGCUCGAGUGGCGAACGGGUGUGUAACACGUGAGUAACCUGCCCUUGACUUUGGGAUAACUUCAGGAAACUGGGGCUAAUACCGGAUAGGAGCUCCUGCUGCAUGUUGGGGGUUGGAAAGUUUCGGCGGAUGGGGAUGGACUCGCGGCUUAUCAGCUUGUUGGUGGGGUAGUGGCUUACCAAGGCUUUGACGGGUAGCCGGCCUGAGAGGGUGACCGGCCACAUUGGGACUGAGAUACGGCCCGGACGCAUACGGGCGGCAGGAGUGGGGAAUAUUGCACAAUGGGCGGAAGCAGGAUGCAGCAACGCCGCGUGCGGGAUGACGGCCUUCGGGUUGUAACCCGCUUUAGCGUGUGACGAAGCGUGAGGGACGGUAAUGGGCAAAGAAGCACCGGCUAACUACGU
RNAcentral lists this ribosomal RNA (467 nucleotides) under uncultured bacterium. RNAcentral describes it as "partial 16S ribosomal RNA". It matches the Rfam family "Bacterial small subunit ribosomal RNA", at positions 28 to 506 of the family's 1533-position model. The record is from RNAcentral.